AUUGAACGCUGGCGGCAUGCUUUACACAUGCAAGUCGAACGGCAGCACGGGGGCAACCCUGGUGGCGAGUGGCGAACGGGUGAGUAAUGCAUCGGAACAUACCCAGUCGUGGGGGAUAACGUAGCGAAAGUUGCGCUAAUACCGCAUACGUCCUGAGGGAGAAAGCGGGGGAUCGCAAGACCUCGCGCGAUUGGAGUGGCCGAUGUCAGAUUAGCUAGUUGGUGGGGUAAAGGCCCACCAAGGCGACGAUCUGUAGCGGGUCUGAGAGGAUGAUCCGCCACACUGGGACUGAGACACGGCCCAGACUCCUACGGGAGGCAGCAGUGGGGAAUUUUGGACAAUGGGGGCAACCCUGAUCCAGCCAUGCCGCGUGCGGGAAGAAGGCCUCGGUUGUAACCG
RNAcentral lists this ribosomal RNA (399 nucleotides) under uncultured bacterium. RNAcentral describes it as "bacterial SSU rRNA". It matches the Rfam family "Bacterial small subunit ribosomal RNA", at positions 29 to 432 of the family's 1533-position model. The record is from RNAcentral.